ACACGUAGGAGGGCAAACGUUAUCCGGAUUUACUGGGCGUAAAGCGCGUGUAGGUGGUUUGGUAAGUAGAGCGUGAAAGCUCCUGGCUCAACUGGGAGAGGUCGUUCUAAACUGCCGGACUAGAGGAUGGUAGAGGGAGGUGGAAUUCCGGGUGUAGCGGUGGAAUGCGCAGAUAUCCGGAGGAACACCAGUGGCGAAAGCGGCCUCCUGGACCACUCCUGACACUCAGACGCGAAAGCUAGGGUAGC
This 248-nucleotide ribosomal RNA is filed under the name uncultured bacterium. RNAcentral's name for it is "partial 16S ribosomal RNA". It matches the Rfam family "Bacterial small subunit ribosomal RNA", at positions 523 to 769 of the family's 1533-position model. The record is from RNAcentral.